This 1056-nucleotide long non-coding RNA is filed under the name Marmota monax (woodchuck). Lineage: Eukaryota; Metazoa; Chordata; Mammalia; Rodentia; Sciuridae. The record is from RNAcentral.
GACCACCUGUUGGCUUCCCGCCAUGGGAUUUGCCAUCUACCCUGUAAUCUCGCGAGUCCUCCAAGUUUAGAUGAGGUUAUAAAUUGUAGCGAGGUGUGCUGAGAAAUGGCAAAUUUAUGCAAAAGCAGCAAAUAAUUACGGCCCUAAGUCGCUCCCCGGCAGUAGCUGCUCACCGUACGCUUUAUGAGGUGACAAAGAACCAUGGCACUGCGCAGACGGGGGACUCAUUUUACGUCAGGACUUGCACCCGGUAACUUCCGCCCUCCUGGAAGGAACGUCAGCUGGUCUUCCAGGUGUUCUACUGGCUACCUCGGCCCUCGGCCUCAUCUCUGUAGCCUUAUUGUUUCUGCCUUGGAGGACGUUCGUUCCUUCAAGCUGUAGGGAUGUCGUUCUCAUUUCACUGAGGGGGAAACUCAGGGCGAUGGAGAAAGAGAAGAUGACCUGCCCAGCUGCGUAGAGUAGUGCAGUUAGGACGCAGAGCCCCGACCUAAUGAAGAUUCUGUGUCGUGUCGGCUUUAUCCACUUGCUGAGGCGUUAGUCUCCUCCUCCCAGGGUUGCUGCUGCUGCUGCUGCUUUAGGUCAAGCCUCAAUCACUCCUGCUGUUCCCAGGGUCUCAGCCACCCACCCUGUGAGCACCGUGCGAGGCUGAGGACCAGGUGUUGAAUGGGGCGGGCAUCCCUCCGCCCUCGUGGAGUUACGCUGAUCGCGUACACAAAGGAGAAUUAGAGACUCAAGUUGUGAUUAAAAAAAAAAUACAGGAUGUGUUAAAAGAGAAUAUUGGACAGGACCCACACUAGAUUGAGAAAUGAGGGGAAAGGGAAAGUUUGAGUGAGACUUAAAGGCUGAGAAAACUGAAGCUCUGUAAUGAUUCAAGCAGCAAAGUCUCAAGAGCUCUAUAUUUGGGCACGCAAGGAACUCAGAGGAGGCCCCGGUGACUGGAGCACAGAAAGUAGAGGAAGAAUGGAACAAAUUGAGCCUGGCCUCCCUUUCUCCACCCUUACCUUUUCUAAACUGCCCCCACAUUGGGAAUACAGAAACAUUUCCAGAACUCAAAUA